Molecule: ribosomal RNA, 253 nt
Filed under: uncultured bacterium
Lineage: Bacteria
Description: partial 16S ribosomal RNA
Rfam family: Bacterial small subunit ribosomal RNA
Source: RNAcentral
UACGGAGGGUGCAAGCGUUGUCCGGAAUCACUGGGCGUAAAGGGCGCGUAGGCGGCUCAUGAAGGCUGUGGUGAAAGUCCGGGGCUCAACCUCGGAUCGGCCGUGGCGACUCGUGGGCUGGAGCACUGUAGAGGCGGGUGGAAUUCCGGGUGUAGCGGUGGAAUGCGUAGAGAUCCGGAAGAACACCUGAGGCGAAGGCGGGCUGCUGGGCUGACACUGACGCUGAGGCGCGAAAGCCAGGGGAGCGAACGGG